RNAcentral lists this ribosomal RNA (1372 nucleotides) under uncultured bacterium. RNAcentral describes it as "bacterial SSU rRNA". It matches the Rfam family "Bacterial small subunit ribosomal RNA", at positions 28 to 1381 of the family's 1533-position model. The record is from RNAcentral.
GAUGAACGCUGGCGGCGUGCCUAAUACAUGCAAGUCGAGCGAACGGACGAGAAGCUUGCUUCUCUGAUGUUAGCGGCGGACGGGUGAGUAACACGUGGAUAACCUACCUAUAAGACUGGGAUAACUUCGGGAAACCGGAGCUAAUACCGGAUAAUAUUUUGAACCGCAUGGUUCAAAAGUGAAAGACGGUCUUGCUGUCACUUAUAGAUGGAUCCGCGCUGCAUUAGCUAGUUGGUAAGGUAACGGCUUACCAAGGCAACGAUGCAUAGCCGACCUGAGAGGGUGAUCGGCCACACUGGAACUGAGACACGGUCCAGACUCCUACGGGAGGCAGCAGUAGGGAAUCUUCCGCAAUGGGCGAAAGCCUGACGGAGCAACGCCGCGUGAGUGAUGAAGGUCUUCGGAUCGUAAAACUCUGUUAUUAGGGAAGAACAUAUGUGUAAGUAACUGUGCACAUCUUGACGGUACCUAAUCAGAAAGCCACGGCUAACUACGUGCCAGCAGCCGCGGUAAUACGUAGGUGGCAAGCGUUAUCCGGAAUUAUUGGGCGUAAAGCGCGCGUAGGCGGUUUUUUAAGUCUGAUGUGAAAGCCCACGGCUCAACUGUGGAGGGUCAUUGGAAACUGGAAAACUUGAGUGCAGAAGAGGAAAGUGGAAUUCCAUGUGUAGCGGUGAAAUGCGCAGAGAUAUGGAGGAACACCAGUGGCGAAGGCGACUUUCUGGUCUGUAACUGACGCUGAUGUGCGAAAGCGUGGGGAUCGAACAGGAUUAGAUACCCUGGUAGUCCACGCCGUAAACGAUGAGUGCUAAGUGUUAGGGGGUUUCCGCCCCUUAGUGCUGCAGCUAACGCAUUAAGCACUCCGCCUGGGGAGUACGACCGCAAGGUUGAAACUCAAAGGAAUUGACGGGGACCCGCACAAGCGGUGGAGCAUGUGGUUUAAUUCGAAGCAACGCGAAGAACCUUACCAAAUCUUGACAUCCUUUGACAACUCUAGAGAUAGAGCCUUCCCCUUCGGGGGACAAAGUGACAGGUGGUGCAUGGUUGUCGUCAGCUCGUGUCGUGAGAUGUUGGGUUAAGUCCCGCAACGAGCGCAACCCUUAAGCUUAGUUGCCAUCAUUAAGUUGGGCACUCUAAGUUGACUGCCGGUGACAAACCGGAGGAAGGUGGGGAUGACGUCAAAUCAUCAUGCCCCUUAUGAUUUGGGCUACACACGUGCUACAAUGGACAAUACAAAGGGCAGCGAAACCGCGAGGUCAAGCAAAUCCCAUAAAGUUGUUCUCAGUUCGGAUUGUAGUCUGCAACUCGACUACAUGAAGCUGGAAUCGCUAGUAAUCGUAGAUCAGCAUGCUACGGUGAAUACGUUCCCGGGUCU